This 1839-nucleotide long non-coding RNA is filed under the name Piliocolobus tephrosceles (Ugandan red Colobus). Its description in RNAcentral is "lncRNA (ENSPTEG00000033951.1)". Lineage: Eukaryota; Metazoa; Chordata; Mammalia; Primates; Cercopithecidae. The record is from RNAcentral.
GGGGGAUUAAAACUGGCCGAAGGGGGACCUCGGUUUCCGGGCUCCCGGCCGGCCCUCAAGGGCUUCCCUACACGGCCCCGAUUCCCGGCCCCUCCCACCCGGAAACCCGCGGUCGGAACCACGUCUCCCAGCCCCCUCUCUACCCGCAGGAGAGGGGUGGGGGCGACGGCCGCGAAGCCCGGACCCCGCCCCGCCGCCUCUGGGGCGCAGGAUAGAUCCGAGGGCGUCGGCAGGGCUCGAGCCUGACGCCGACCCUCGGCCCUUCAGUCUCCGGGCGUCAAACACCCUCUCCCCACCCAACACCCAGGCCGGAGAAACGGUCUUCAGCCCUACCCCGACCCCUGCCCCAGUCGCUUUCCCCUGGGCUGUGACCUCCCGCCCACCAAAAAAAAAAGUGCGGCCGGCACCCCCGCCACACCCUGCCCAGGCCCAGGGAAGUUCGAAUCAAAGUUGCUCGAGGGCGGCUGGAGAGCGCCCGGCGAGUCUCCGCGGGCCUGGGGCGAGCCCUGGAGGAAGGGACCGCCGGUGGUCUCUCCCAGCCCGCGCCGAAGUCCGCCAGGGUCCCGCGGCCUCACCUGGGCUCCCCAAGGCUGCGCGCUCCUCUCCCGCCGCGGCUCCGGGGCUCUCUAGCUGCGCCCCCCAGCUCCCGCCCCGCCUGCCGCGCGGCCCCGCCCCGGGCUCCAGCCACGGUCCCCUCCCCCGCCCAGUGGCCGCCGGCCUCCCUCAUGUGACGCGGGAACAGCUGCGGCCUGAGUCACUGGGCCCGGCGCGGGGUGGGCCGAGCCCCCUGCCCGGCCAGGGCCACGUGGUCCCUACCCGGAAGAAGGCUCCCACCCCUGCAAACGGAGAGCCGCAAGGGCAAGACCUCGGGGCGCCUGGGGCCCCCCUCUGGCGCCCCGCCUCCGUGCCAGCUCGGGGUAGGAGAGCAGGGCGGAGCGCAGCCUGGGUCACUCUGGUUCAGAGAAGCGGACGAGGGUUCCUAGUCUGAGAAAAGGGGAGGAAGCCCUUACCCGAAGCCACGCUACCCAGUCAAUCAAUACACGUCCGCGUCGGGGCCCGCCCUCUGGGGGAGGAUUGACAAGGUCUGCGCUCCCAACUCCCGGACAGCUCCUGCAUCGUCUGGGAUAGCGAGGGUUUGGGGGAAGACACGAAGGUAGGAAAGGCUUACAUCCUCUGGAUUUCCUCGUCUUAUCCCAGAAGACAAAGCCAGGCUGGAAGCGGGCCAGGGGGUCAAGCUGCCUCCCUCCCUUGUGUGCCAGGGGUGGUCUCCAGAAGGAGCUGAUCUGAACAGGCCAGAGAGUGGGACCGGUCAUCACACCCCCACACCUCCAGCCUCGGACCCACUCCUUGGGCUCUUAGGGUCCUGCCUCAAGAACCACUUCCUGAGUCUUGGUGUAUGUGUGUACACAAAGAAGGAAAGAAGUCUCUAGGGCAAAAGGAAGGAGAUCCGGGCUGGGCUGAGAAGCAUCUUCCAGGAUCACGGUCUUCCCGUGGGACACACCAAGCCCAUUCCGGACCUUGCUCUUCCUGACCAUGGCGGGCAGGCUGUGGAGGAGGAGUGGAGAGCUGAAGAAAGGAGUAUUCAUCAGGUUCCUUAUUGUGCUGCCACUAGAUGCCAGGCAUAUGCUAGGCUCGGGGGCUGCAAGGAGAGGAAGACAGCGGCCCUGUCCUCUGCCAGCAGGCAAAACCAAGUUCUGGCCACACUGAAGAAAGGCAGAAGCCUGCGGUGGCAGCUGGUUAAGUUCAGAGGGAGGGAAAGGGAGAGGAGAAUGGAUUUCACGGAGCAGGUGGAUGUGCUCAAGGUGACCUUGGAGAAUAAAGGGGAGAGCUCCAGGGACA